RNAcentral lists this small nuclear RNA (160 nucleotides) under Daucus carota subsp. sativus. RNAcentral's name for it is "sRNA DCAR_sn00066". It matches the Rfam family "U1 spliceosomal RNA". From Rfam's summary of the family: U1 is a small nuclear RNA (snRNA) component of the spliceosome (involved in pre-mRNA splicing). Lineage: Eukaryota; Viridiplantae; Streptophyta; Magnoliopsida; Apiales; Apiaceae. The record is from RNAcentral.
UUACUUACCUGGAUGGGGUCAAUGGGCGAUCAAAAAGGCUCAUGGCCUAGGUCAGUGACCUCCAUUGCACUGAGGAGGGGCCCUGGUCUAAGAUCUACCCAAGUGGUGGAGUCUACAUCAUAAUUUGUGAUAGGUGGUCUUGCGUUCGCGCAGACCACGC